RNAcentral lists this ribosomal RNA (497 nucleotides) under uncultured bacterium. Its description in RNAcentral is "partial 16S ribosomal RNA". It matches the Rfam family "Bacterial small subunit ribosomal RNA", at positions 28 to 507 of the family's 1533-position model. The record is from RNAcentral.
GACGAACGCUGGCGGCGUGCCUAAUACAUGCAAGUUGAGCGCUGAAGGUUGGUCCUUGUACCAACUGGAUGAGCAGCGAACGGGUGAGUAACGCGUGGGGAAUCUGCCUUUGAGCGGGGGACAACAUUUGGAAACGAAUGCUAAUACCGCAUAAAAACUUUAAACACAAGUUUUAAGUUUGAAAGAUGCAAUUGCAUCACUCAAAGAUGAUCCCGCGUUGUAUUAGCUAGUUGGUGAGGUAAAGGCUCACCAAGGCGAUGAUACAUAGCCGACCUGAGAGGGUGAUCGGCCACAUUGGGACUGGGACACGGCCCAAACUCCUACGGGAGGCAGCAGUAGGGAAUCUUCGGCAAUGGACGAAAGUCUGACCGAGCAACGCCGCGUGAGUGAAGAAGGUUUUCGGAUCGUAAAACUCUGUUGGUAGAGAAGAACGUUGGUGAGAGUGGAAAGCUCAUCAAGUGACGGUAACUACCCAGAAAGGGACGGCUAACUACGUG